CCUACGGGAGGCAGCAGUGAGGAAUAUUGGACAAUGGUCGAAAGACUGAUCCAGCCAUGCCGCGUGCAGGAAGACGGCCCUAUGGGUUGUAAACUGCUUUUGUUUGGGAAGAAACCUUUCUACGUGUAGAAAGCUGACGGUACCAUACGAAUAAGCACCGGCUAACUCCGUGCCAGCAGCCGCGGUAAUACGGAGGGUGCAAGCGUUAUCCGGAUUUAUUGGGUUUAAAGGGUCCGUAGGCGGACUUAUAAGUCAGUGGUGAAGUCCUGCAGCUCAACUGUAGAACUGCCAUUGAUACUGUAAGUCUUGAAUUCGGUUGAAGUGGGCGGAAUAUGGCAUGUAGCGGUGAAAUGCUUAGAUAUGCCAUAGAACACCGAUUGCGUAGGCAGCUCACUAAGCCUGGAUUGACGCUGAGGGACGAAAGCGUGGGUAGCGAACAGGAUUAGAUACCCUGGUAGUCCACGCCGUAAACGAUGAUUACUCGACAUUAGGCGAUACUACGUUAGUGUCAUAAGACGAAGACAUUAAGUUAAUACCACCGUACGGGUAGGUACGUUACGCGAAGAAGUAGAAACGUACGAAAGGAAAGUUAGUACGGCGUAGAAGACGUAGACCGACGGACGACGACGAGGGGAGGAGG
Molecule: ribosomal RNA, 640 nt
Filed under: uncultured bacterium
Lineage: Bacteria
Description: bacterial SSU rRNA
Rfam family: Bacterial small subunit ribosomal RNA (bases 1-540)
Source: RNAcentral